AGUGUUUACAGCCACAGUGUAC
Molecule: unclassified non-coding RNA, 22 nt
Filed under: Mus musculus (house mouse)
Lineage: Eukaryota; Metazoa; Chordata; Mammalia; Rodentia; Muridae
Description: oocyte_clustered_small_RNA4038
Source: RNAcentral